GAUGAACGCUGGCGGCGUGCCUAAUACAUGCAAGUCGAGCGAACAGACGAGGAGCUUGCUCCUCUGACGUUAGCGGAGGACGGGUGUGUAACGCGUGGAUAACCUACCUAUAAGACUGGGAUCACUUCGGGAAACCGGCGCUAAUACCGGAUAAUCUAUUGAACCGCAUGGUUCAAUAGUGAAAGACGGUUUUGCUGUCACUUCUAGAUGGAUCCGCGCCGCAUUAGCUAGUUGGUAAGGUAACGGCCUACCAAGGCAACGAUGCGUAACCGACCUGAGGGGGUGAUAGGCCACACUGGAACGGAGACACGGUCCAGACGCCUACGGGAGGCAGCAGUAGGGAAUCUGCCGCAGUGGGCGAAAGCCUGACGGAGCAACGCCGAGUGAGUGAUGAAGGUCUUCGGAUCGGAAAACUCUGUUAUUAGGGAAGAACAAAUGUGUAAGUAACUAUGCACGUCUUGACGGUACCUAAUCAGAAAGCCACGGCUAACUACGUG
This 497-nucleotide ribosomal RNA is filed under the name uncultured bacterium. RNAcentral describes it as "partial 16S ribosomal RNA". It matches the Rfam family "Bacterial small subunit ribosomal RNA", at positions 28 to 507 of the family's 1533-position model. The record is from RNAcentral.